Molecule: small nuclear RNA, 102 nt
Organism: Ursus americanus (American black bear)
Lineage: Eukaryota; Metazoa; Chordata; Mammalia; Carnivora; Ursidae
Source: Ensembl
GUCCUCACUUUGGCAACACAUAUACUAAAACUGAAACAAUACAGAAGAUUAGCAUGACCCUUGUGCAAGGAUGACACACACAAAAAAGCCCCCCAAAAUCCU